RNAcentral lists this ribosomal RNA (460 nucleotides) under uncultured bacterium. RNAcentral describes it as "partial 16S ribosomal RNA". It matches the Rfam family "Bacterial small subunit ribosomal RNA", at positions 338 to 795 of the family's 1533-position model. The record is from RNAcentral.
CCUACGGGUGGCUGCAGUGAGGAAUAUUGGUCAAUGGCCGUAAGGCUGAACCAGCCAAGUCGCGUGAAGGAAGACGGCCCUAUGGGUUGUAAACUUCUUUUAUAGGGGAAUAAAGGGAUCCACGUGUGGCUAUUUGCAUGUACCCUAUGAAUAAGCAUCGGCUAACUCCGUGCCAGCAGCCGCGGUAAUACGGAGGAUGCGAGCGUUAUCCGGAUUUAUUGGGUUUAAAGGGUGCGUAGGUGGUUUGUUAAGUCAGUGGUGAAAGUUUGCGGCUCAACCAUAAAAUUGCAGUUGAUACUGGAAGUCUUGAGUGUGUUUGAGGUAGGCGGAAUGCGUGGUGUAGCGGUGAAAUGCAUAGAUAUCACGCAGAACCCCGAUUGCGAAGGCAGCUUACUAAGCUAUGACUGACACUGAAGCACGAAAGCGUGGGGAUCAAACAGGAUUAGAUACCCGUGUAGUC